AUUGAACGCUGGCGGAAUGCUUUACACAUGCAAGUCGAACGGCAGCACGGGGGCAACCCUGGUGGCGAGUGGCGAACGGGUGAGUAAUACAUCGGAACGUGCCCAGUCGUGGGGGAUAACGUAGCGAAAGUUACGCUAAUACCGCAUACGAUCUACGGAUGAAAGCGGGGGACCGUAAGGCCUUGCGCGAUUGGAGCGGCGGAUGUCAGAUUAGGUAGUUGGUGAGGUAAAGGCUCACCAAGCCGACGAUCUGUAGCUGGUCUGAGAGGACGACCAGCCACACUGGGACUGAGACACGGCCCAGACUCCUACGGGAGGCAGCAGUGGGGAAUUUUGGACAAUGGGCGCAAGCCUGAUCCAGCAUUUCCGCGUGCAGGACGAAGGUCUUCGGGUUGUAAACUGCUUUUGUACGGAACGAAAAGGCUCUGGUUAAUACCUGGGGCUCAUGACGGUACCGUAAGAAUAAGCACCGGCUAACUACGUGCCAGCCGCCGCAGUAA
Molecule: ribosomal RNA, 500 nt
Filed under: uncultured bacterium
Lineage: Bacteria
Description: partial 16S ribosomal RNA
Rfam family: Bacterial small subunit ribosomal RNA
Source: RNAcentral